This 207-nucleotide ribosomal RNA is filed under the name uncultured bacterium. RNAcentral describes it as "partial 16S ribosomal RNA". It matches the Rfam family "Bacterial small subunit ribosomal RNA", at positions 568 to 774 of the family's 1533-position model. The record is from RNAcentral.
AGCGUAGACGGAUGGACAAGUCUGAUGUGAAAGGCUGGGGCUCAACCCCGGGACUGCAUUGGAAACUGCACGUCUUGAGUACCGGAGAGGUAAGCGGAAUUCCUAGUGUAGCGGUGAAAUGCGUAGAUAUUAGGAGGAACACCAGUGGCGAAGGCGGCUUACUGGACGGUAACUGACGUUGAGGCUCGAAAGCGUGGGGAGCAAACA